This 465-nucleotide ribosomal RNA is filed under the name uncultured bacterium. Its description in RNAcentral is "partial 16S ribosomal RNA". It matches the Rfam family "Bacterial small subunit ribosomal RNA", at positions 338 to 795 of the family's 1533-position model. The record is from RNAcentral.
CCUACGGGAGGCAGCAGUGGGGAAUAUUGCGCAAUGGGCGAAAGCCUGACGCAGUGACGCCGCGUGAGGGAUGAAGGUCUUCGGAUCGUAAACCUCUGUCAGCAGGGAAGAACGGUCACUGUGCUAAUCAGCAGUGAAUUGACGGUACCUGCAAAGGAAGCACCGGCUAACUCCGUGCCAGCAGCCACGGGAAUACGGAGGGUGCGAUCGUUGAUCGGAAUUACUGGGCGUAAAGCGCUCGUAGGCGGUAUGUCAAGUCAAGGGGGAAAUCCCCGCGCUCAACGUGGGAACUGCCUUUGAAACUGGCAAACUGGAGUGGGUGAGAGGAUAGUGGAAUUCCAGGUGUAGGAGUGAAAUCCGUAGAUAUCUGGAGGAACAUCAGUGGCGAAGGCGACUAUCUGGCACAUAACUGACGCUGAGGAGCGAAAGCGUGGGUAGCAAACAGGAUUAGAUACCCUGGUAGUC